Molecule: small RNA, 108 nt
Filed under: Marmota monax (woodchuck)
Lineage: Eukaryota; Metazoa; Chordata; Mammalia; Rodentia; Sciuridae
Source: RNAcentral
GCCAGGUGUGGUGGCACACACCUGUAAUCCCAAUGACUUGGGAGGCUGAGGCAGGCGGAUCACUUAAUUUGAGGCCAGCCUCAGCAACUUAGCGAGACCCUGUCUCAA